GUCUUGCAGGAUUAUUCCAUCAUUAGAGAAGUUGAAUGCCUUGGAUUUCUUGAGAAUGAUGCUGCCAUCGUCAACCCUGUCAUAGAACCCUUCUGGCAGCAUUGCAAUUGAGCACGAGGACAUAGCAAAGGAGAAGCUGUAGUCAGGUACCAUCCCAUGCUUUUGUAAGGGAAUGCUCCACUUGAAGUAAGUUUCAAUCACUUUUGAGAUCGCCCAUCGCUGAAACAACAGAUAAACUUUCAUCUUUCAGGAUUCUGCAGCUUAUUGUCUGAAUGUGUCUUCAUUUGAAAAUAUAUUCUUACUUACCAAGGGAGAUAGUGCA
RNAcentral lists this long non-coding RNA (322 nucleotides) under Setaria viridis. RNAcentral's name for it is "long non-coding RNA (SVIR_LNC002328)". Lineage: Eukaryota; Viridiplantae; Streptophyta; Magnoliopsida; Poales; Poaceae. The record is from RNAcentral.